This 468-nucleotide ribosomal RNA is filed under the name uncultured bacterium. RNAcentral's name for it is "partial 16S ribosomal RNA". It matches the Rfam family "Bacterial small subunit ribosomal RNA", at positions 28 to 507 of the family's 1533-position model. The record is from RNAcentral.
GACGAACGCUGGCGGCGUGCUUAACACAUGCAAGUCGAACGGAAAGGCCCUGCUUUUGUGGGGUGCUCGAGUGGCGAACGGGUGAGUAACACGUGAGUAACCUGCCCUUGACUUUGGGAUAACUUCAGGAAACUGGGGCUAAUACCGGAUAGGAGCUCCUGUUGCAUGGUGGGGGUUGGAAAGUUUCGGCGGUUGGGGAUGGACUCGCGGCUUAUCAGCUUGUUGGUGGGGUAGUGGCUUACCAAGGCUUUGACGGGUAGGCGGCCUGGGAGGGGGACCGGCCACAUGGGGACUGAGAGACGGCCCAGACUCCUACGGGGGGCAGCGGGGGGGAAUAUUGCACAAUGGGCCGAAGCCGGAUGCAGCAACGCCGCGGGCGGGAUGACGGCCUUCGGGUUGUAAACCGCUUUCGCCUGUGACGAAGCGUGAGUGACGGUAAUGGGUAAAGAAGCACCGGCUAACUACGUG